This 1055-nucleotide long non-coding RNA is filed under the name Gallus gallus (chicken). RNAcentral describes it as "lncRNA (ENSGALG00010000663.1)". Lineage: Eukaryota; Metazoa; Chordata; Aves; Galliformes; Phasianidae. The record is from RNAcentral.
CCUCUCUUUGCCUGACCUCCGCUGCUCUUUUUGCCCCAAUUCGGCCCUUUUUGGCCCAAACGUUGCCCUCUUCCACCCCCUUUUAUGGGAUCCGGCACCGGAUGUGGGGCGCCCCAAAACCCCUCAUUACACCCCCAAAAUGCUCUGAUUCAGCCCCAAAAUGGGGUGAUUCAGCCCCAAAACGGAUCAUUACGGCCCGCAAUGGGGUCAGGGUGGCCCCAAAACCCAUAAUUAGGACCCAAAAUGGGGCGGAGUCCCCAAACAAACCGGUUCCAAAACUCCCAAAUCCGGUUUGGAACCCCAAUAAAAGCGGCGCCCAACCCAAAUUGGGGCACUUUGGCCCCAAAAUGGAGAUCCUGACACGAAGAAAUGGGAUUUUCAGCCCCAAAAGUGCCAUUUUCAGCCCCAAAAUGCACAUCCUCGGCUCCAAAACUGAGAUUUUUCAGCCCCAGAAGUGCUAUUUUCGGACCCCAAAAUGGGACUUUCAGCCCCAAAAUGGAGAUCCUCAGCUCCAAAAAAAAAAAAAAAAAGGGGAUUUUCUGCCCCCAUAUUGGGAUUUUCACCCCCAAAGUGCCAUUUUCAGCCCCCAGAUUGGAUUUUCUCGCCCCAAAAUGAGGCCUCAGAGCCCCCCAUAGCGGUGUUCUUCGCCCCUCCCCGCUCACCUCGUUAAUUGGCGCUAAUUAACGUUGGCUCAUUAACGACUUCGGGCGGCUCCAGAGUCGGUUUUGGUUCCUCCUUCCACUUUGGGUGGAAAAAAGCAGAAAUUGGGACGGAAAGGGUGGGGUGAUGACGUCAUCACGGGUUUGGGGGGGAAAGGGGUCGUUUUGGUUCAAAGAGUGCAGGGGGCUGCUCCUCGUUUGCAUGUCAUUUGCAUAUCGUUUGCAUACAGAGGCGCAAUGGGAUUUUCAGCCCCAAAAUGGGGUCUCCGAAGCCCAAAAAAGGCAUUUUUAGCCCCCAAAUGGGGUCCCUGAAUAAAAAAAAGGACAUUUUUAGCCCCAAAAUGGGGUCCCCAAAUCCCUACAUUGGGAUUUUCAGCCCCAAAAAUGGGGUCCCUG